RNAcentral lists this ribosomal RNA (468 nucleotides) under uncultured bacterium. RNAcentral's name for it is "partial 16S ribosomal RNA". It matches the Rfam family "Bacterial small subunit ribosomal RNA", at positions 28 to 507 of the family's 1533-position model. The record is from RNAcentral.
GACGAACGCUGGCGGCGUGCUUAACACAUGCAAGUCGAACGGAAAGGCCCUGCUUUUGUGGGGUGCUCGAGUGGCGAACGGGUGAGUAACACGUGAGUAACCUGCCCUUGACUUUGGGAUAACUUCAGGAAACUGGGGCUAAUACCGGAUAGGAGCUCCUGCUGCAUGGUGGGGGUUGGAAAGUUUCGGCGGUUGGGGAUGGACUCGCGGCUUAUCAGCUUGUUGGUGGGGUAGUGGCUUACCAAGGCUUUGACGGGUAGCCGGCCUGAGAGGGUGACCGGCGACAUUGGGACUGAGAUACGGCCCAGAAGCGUACGGGAGGCAGCAGUGGGGAAUAUUGCACAAUGGGCGGAAGCCUGAUGCAGCAACGCCGCGUGCGGGAUGACGGCCUUCGGGUUGUAAACCGCUUUCGCCUGUGACGAAGCGUGAGUGACGGUAAUGGGUAAAGAAGCACCGGCUAACUACGUG